AAAAGAAACUAACAAGGAUUCCCCUAGUAACUGCGAGUGAACCGGGAAAAGCUCAAAUUUAAAAUCUGGCAGUUUAUAAUUGUCCGAGUUGUAAUCUGGAGAAGUGUUUUCCGCGCUGGCCUGUAUACAAGUUUCCUGGAAUGGAACGUCAUAGAGGGUGAGAAUCCCGUCUUUGCUACAGACUCCCAGUGCUUUUGUGAUACGCUCUCAACGAGUCGAGUUGUUUGGGAAUGCAGCUCACAAUGGGUGGUAAAUUCCAUCUAAAGCUAAAUAUUGGCGAGAGACCGAUAGCGAACAAGUACCGUGAGGGAAAGAUGAAAAGAACUUUGGAAAGAGAGUUAAACAGUACGUGAAAUUGCUUAAAGGGAAACGCUUGAAGUCAGUCGCGUUGUCUGGGAUUCAGCCUUGCAUUUAUGCCUGGUGUAUUUCCUAGUUGACGGGUCAACAUCAGUUUCGACCGCUGGAAAAAGGUGUAAGAAAUGUGGCAUCAUUCGUGGUGUGUUAUAGUCUUGCAUUGUAUACAGCGAUUGGGACUGAGGAACUCAGUACGCCUUUAUGGUCGGGAUUCGUCCACGUAACGUACUUAGGAUGUUGGCAUAAUGGCUUUAAUCGACCCGUCUUGAAACACGGACCAAGGAGUCUAACAUGCUUGCGAGUAUUUGGGUGGAAAACCCGAGUGCGCAAUGAAAGUGAAAGUUGGGAUCUUUGUCAUGGAGAGCACCGACGCCCGGACCAGACGUUCUCUGACGGUUCCGCGGUAGAGCACGUAUGUUGGGACCCGAAAGAUGGUGAACUAUGCCUGAAUAGGGUGAAGCCAGAGGAAACUCUGGUGGAGGCUCGUAGCGAUUCUGACGUGCAAAUCGAUCGUCGAA
This 872-nucleotide ribosomal RNA is filed under the name Typhula micans. Its description in RNAcentral is "LSU rRNA". It matches the Rfam family "Eukaryotic large subunit ribosomal RNA", at positions 57 to 909 of the family's 3401-position model. The record is from RNAcentral. Lineage: Eukaryota; Fungi; Basidiomycota; Agaricomycetes; Agaricales; Typhulaceae.